This 72-nucleotide ribosomal RNA is filed under the name Listeria monocytogenes. RNAcentral's name for it is "partial 23S ribosomal RNA". The record is from RNAcentral. Lineage: Bacteria; Bacillati; Bacillota; Bacilli; Caryophanales; Listeriaceae.
AGUAAAUUGGUUAAGUUAGAAAGGGCGCACGGUGGAUGCCUUGGCACUAGGAGCCGAAGAAGGACGGGACUA